Molecule: ribosomal RNA, 469 nt
Filed under: Chamaeleo monachus (monarch chameleon)
Lineage: Eukaryota; Metazoa; Chordata; Lepidosauria; Squamata; Chamaeleonidae
Description: partial 16S ribosomal RNA
Rfam family: Bacterial large subunit ribosomal RNA
Source: RNAcentral
GAACGCCUGGCCCUGUGGAACCCUAAACGGCCGCGGUACAAACCGUGCAAAGGUAGCACAAUCACUUGUCCCUUAAAUGAGGACCCGUAUGAAAGGCAACAUGAGAGAACACCUGUCUCCUAAGGUCAGCCAGUGAAAUUGAUCCAUCAGUACAAAAGCUGAUAUAAUUUAGCAAGACAAAAAGACCCUGUGGAACUUUAACAAAUUACUUACACCAAAUAAGCAAUAGUUUCAGUUGGGAUAACUUUAGAAAAAAUAAACUUCUAACACCUCCAAGACCAACAAGUCUAACUACACCACUAUACGACCCAGUAAUACUGAUUAACGAAACAAGCUACCCUAGGGAUAACAGCGCUACCUUCUCAAAGAGUCCAUAUCAACAAGAAGAUCUACGACCUCGAUGUUGGAUCAGGGUACCCAGACGGUGCAGCAGCUGUCAACGGUUCGUUUGUUCAACGACUAACACCCU